RNAcentral lists this ribosomal RNA (253 nucleotides) under uncultured bacterium. RNAcentral describes it as "partial 16S ribosomal RNA". It matches the Rfam family "Bacterial small subunit ribosomal RNA", at positions 524 to 776 of the family's 1533-position model. The record is from RNAcentral.
GACGAACCGUACGAACGUUAUUCGGAAUCACUGGGCUUAAAGGGUGCGUAGGCUGCGCGGAAAGUUGGGUGUGAAAUCCCUCGGCUCAACCGAGGAACUGCGCCCAAAACUGCCGUGCUCGAGGGAGACAGAGGUGAGCGGAACUUAGGGUGGAGCGGUGAAAUGCGUUGAUAUCCUAAGGAACACCGGUGGCGAAAGCGGCUCACUGGGUCUCUUCUGACGCUGAGGCACGAAAGUUAGGGUAGCGAACGGG